This 253-nucleotide ribosomal RNA is filed under the name uncultured bacterium. RNAcentral describes it as "partial 16S ribosomal RNA". It matches the Rfam family "Bacterial small subunit ribosomal RNA", at positions 524 to 776 of the family's 1533-position model. The record is from RNAcentral.
UACGGGGGGGGCAAGCGUUGUUCGGAAUUACUGGGCGUAAAGGGCUCGUAGGUGGCCAACUAAGUCAGACGUGAAAUCCCUCAGCUUAACUGGGGAACUGCGUCUGAUACUGGAUGGCUUGAGUUUGGGAGAGGGACGCGGAAUUCCAGGUGUAGCGGUGAAAUGCGUAGAUAUCUGGAGGAACACCGGUGGCGAAGGCGGCGUCCUGGACCAACACUGACACUGAUGAGCGAAAGCGUGGGGAGCAAACAGG